Molecule: small RNA, 133 nt
Filed under: Velazquezella soli
Lineage: Bacteria; Pseudomonadati; Pseudomonadota; Alphaproteobacteria; Hyphomicrobiales; Rhizobiaceae
Also listed under: 1 other name
Description: Rhizobium soli sRNA ar35
Rfam family: Alphaproteobacterial sRNA ar35
Source: RNAcentral
GUCGGGCAAGAUGUCGGCCUGCAACCUUCAGGCUGCUUAAUUCGAUUUUUGCUUCGCUUUGACCACGGAUGUACUGGCACUGUCGAAGUAGCAGUUGGUGAGGGCCGAGCAUACGUGCUCGGCCUUCUUAUUU